AGAGGGGGUUGGUGUGGCAGAAGGGAUGGGGGAGGGAGGACACACAAGCAGCACUGUUGAGAAAAGCACAGGCGGCCUCAGUGUCAGUGUGAGGGGACCUUGUGCUGUAGCUGCCACAAAACAGCAUUUGGCCUGAGGCUAUGUUAAUAAUAAAGAUAUUGCCUUUAGAAUACGGAGGUGCUCUACAGUGAUCAUUCAUUCAACUGACCUUUGUUUUCUGACAGACACAGGACAGAGUGGUUCUGCAUCUGGGGAACAUCACUGAAGUAAAAUGAGAAAAAUCUCUGACCUUGUGGAGCAUGUGUUCCAGUGGAAAGACGCAGACGAUAGAUACCCGAUAACCAGAGCAAGGAAAGGAAGUGCUAGAAGGUGGGAUCACCUGGACGUGGUGCUGAGAUCCAGGAAGUCUGGAGUCGAGCAAGAGAUUCUUGAUUUAUAACAAGGCUGGAGCUCAUGCUGCUGGUCUCCAGAUCAAGAACACCAGGAUCCCACAUGCCUGAGCAUCAGUCUCACCUAUAACCCUUGUUAUAUAAGUGAUUCCUUGGUCUUGUGCGUAAUACUCUGAGACAGACAUUCUGGGAAACGGCCUGCGUAUUUUCUAAGCCCCACCAGCAAUCCUGUUGCUCAGCCAGAUUGGGAACCACUGAGACCAGAGAUCAGAGAGUGG
Long non-coding RNA from Cercocebus atys (sooty mangabey), 667 nucleotides. RefSeq lists it as uncharacterized. The record is from RefSeq and is a predicted model, not a curated record. NCBI's taxonomy places the organism in Eukaryota, Metazoa, Chordata, Mammalia, Primates, Cercopithecidae. The transcript has 3 exons.